Molecule: non-coding RNA, 1300 nt
Organism: Lactuca sativa (garden lettuce)
Lineage: Eukaryota; Viridiplantae; Streptophyta; Magnoliopsida; Asterales; Asteraceae
Source: RefSeq, a predicted model, not a curated record
UUGGAGUUGGCCACCUUUACCCUAUCCGCCGUCAUUCAUCUCCUUCUCUUUAACUCCUAUCGGAAGGAAAAUCCGUAUCGUCUUCAUCAUCACUACCAGUCUCCUCAACUUUCGGUGUUUGGGAUUAUGCAACUGUGUUUAUCGUCGUUCACCCAAUCUCCAUGUGGACCAUGUCGAUUUUAGGGUUUAAUUGUAGAUAAAUAUAUGGACGAUGGAAAUGCUGAUAAAAUAAUGGGAGUUGAAGAAGAAGGACCGGAGCGAUUAGGUGGUGGUUGAGAUGAAGGUGAAAGUUUCCGAUUAGAUAAGUCAGAAAAAUGAUAGUCAUCGUGGUGUCCGUCGCUGCACUAUUUGAAGUACACUUCAACCUGAAUUUGGUAAUUUUCUUUGUUUAUUGUUUCUAUUGGGUUACGUCUGUGUUUCUUUUUUGCUUCUAUAUGUUAACCCACAGAUGAGUUCUUCGGCAAAGGGUUCCCUCGUCACAAAUCGCUUCAAACUUCAGUUUUCAGAUAACAUUAUCCGAGCCAUAAUUUCUUCCCUAUUUUUGAUUCGGCAAAAGUUAUCAUUAGAAUACCAACAAAAACAGCAAAUUCUACUACUAGUUUCCAAGAAAAGACGUCAUCUUCAUUGUAAGAACUUAUAACCUAUUGACGCAUGAUGUGUGAGAUUUUUAGUUUUAGAGUAUUGUAUUUUAUAAAGUACCUUAAAUAACAAAUUUGAAAUUAUAGUGUUGAAGCCUAAUAACUUAUUAUAGAAUUUGUUUAUAUAUGUUAUAAGUGCAAAAUUCGAUUCCCAGUUAGCUAAAGAGGGAAAUUUAGGUGUAUUAUGUAGAACUUUGAUAACUUUUUGGAUCUUUUAUGUGAUUAACAUAUCAGAAUAACAAUAAUACAUUUAUUAAAAUUUUAGAAGAGUUAUCAAAUUUGCAACUUAAGAAUCUUACAUUUUUCACCUUCUUCAGCACUUAUAAUGAUUUGUCUUUAAUUAGGCUUGAUUUCGUUGUGUUUGCAUAUUAAGCUGUUGUGGUUUGCCACCUAACUUCAUGUUUGUUUAUUUAUACGUAUUGUUUAAACUAAUAACCAGUUGUUUGAAUUGAUUCAAUUCUUUUUAUGAGGAGCUUGGUUGAUGGGCAACAUUUAUCUCCAUUACAGAAAAAGAGGAACCCUUCUCCUUCACGAUUGGACAAUGUUAUUUGUUAUUCACCAUUGUUUUUGUUUCAGUUACAGUACCACAUGUUCAAGCUCUUUUAGAUUUUGAAAGGCCAUUUUGGCGUUUGGCAAAGGGGAAUCGCUCCCCAAAGCUUCAA